This 197-nucleotide non-coding RNA is filed under the name Fukomys damarensis (Damara mole-rat). The record is from RNAcentral. Lineage: Eukaryota; Metazoa; Chordata; Mammalia; Rodentia; Bathyergidae.
AAUUCCAGUGACAGGUGGAGGGAGCGAGUGGGUGGCUGCUGGGGUAGAAGAGCAAAUAGGGCAGAGCUGGAUCCUGCACAGGGAGAAACAGAGUCAAAGGGCUUUGCCUGGGGUCUCACCCUCCCCCACAGUCCUUGCCUCAUCCGAGAUUCUCUUCCUACUGCAGCAGGUGGAUGUUGCCCUGGGACUGGCAGCGC